This 1522-nucleotide long non-coding RNA is filed under the name Salmo salar (Atlantic salmon). RNAcentral's name for it is "lncRNA (ENSSSAG00000097528.1)". Lineage: Eukaryota; Metazoa; Chordata; Actinopteri; Salmoniformes; Salmonidae. The record is from RNAcentral.
UGUGUGUGUGUGUGUGUGUGUGUGUGUGUGUGUAACCCCUGGGUGACUCACAUAUACAAGGAGGUGACAGGAAAGACCAAGGUCAACCAUGGUCUGGGACCUCUGAGUCGGCCAUUUUGCUUUUGGAAGACAUAAAUCAGAUGAAACGGACAGUUCCUCUCCUCUUCAAAGGCUUUUGUUUUACAGAGGUUAUCAGGAGGGCUGAAGCAAUUGCCUGUAUAAUGGACCCCCUUAGCCAGUCUGAUAAGUAUAACAGUAAGGAACACACAGUCCUGCGACAGUCUGGUAGUCAGCUAGAAGACAAGGAAUAAACUGAUGUUUUCUCAGGUGCUGAGUUGUAUCACCUCAAUGUGACAGCGACAGCCAUUUUGACGCGGUGUUGUCUGCCAACGUCAACCAUUUAGCCAUUGUUUGUGUUCCUGUCUGAAGAGGUUUAUACUAGUGACCACUUCUGGGUGAGUUACUGUAGGCCAAUUCCACGGAAACAGAAUUGCACUGAUUUUGCACUUCAAAGUGUAUGCCAUACAAAAACUCUAUGCACAAUGACUACUUUUACACUGAAGAUUUUACUAAAACACAUUUACCGGAAGAACUGGGCAGAUGCUAAGUUUGGUAACAGAAUCUCAGUUUUUUAUGUGACCACGUUUUCAAAAAAAUCUACACUUAAAUAUCUGCUCCGAAUUAAGAUUGAAAGAUGUCUGCAGAAAGAAUGGGAUGUCAGCUACGACCUACUUUCAAGCGUUGGUCGCUGCUCAGUGGGUAAAGAUGCUGAUUACAGUAAAUGGAAAGAGAGGGGGCUCAUUGGUAGGUUUCAGUGAGAGCCGGAAGAGGUGACAUUAACUAGAGAGAGAGAGAAGAGAGAGAGAGCGGCAGAGAGAGGGAGAGUGAAAGGGAGGGGUUGUCCAGGCUGUUUUCACAGUCUUUCUUUGACACCAGACGACAGAAAGAGAAAGAAAAGUUAUGAGCUGAACAUAACAGUAUACCAGUGGAAGGGAGGACAGUAGCAGGUAACCCUAUGAGCUGAACAUAACAGUAUGCCAGUGGAAGGGAGGACAGUAGCAGGUAACCCUAUGAGCUGAACAUAACAGUAUACCAGUGGAAGGGAGGACAGUAGCAGGUAACCCUAUGAGCUGAACAUAACAGUAUGCCAGUGGAAGGGAGGACAGUAGCGGGUAACCCUAUGAGCUGAACAUAACAGUAUGCCAGUGGAAGGGAGGACAGUAGCAGGUAACCCUAUGAGCUGAACAUAACAGUAUGCCAGUGGAAGGGAGGACAGUAGCAGGUAACCCAACAGUGGUUUGUGACUAUUAUGAUUUCCCACUGUAGCAAAUUGAAUUGCAGUAAUUCCGUUACUGAUUUUAAACAAAUUCUGUUACCAAUUUGGUAACAGAAUUUAGAGUUUUAAACACUUAAUAAUUCAUAAACCAAAUAGAUAUCAGUAAAAACACUAUGACUUAUUGGUAGGUCUAUCUUAUUAGACACUAUGACUUAUUGGUAGGUCUACCUUAUUAGACACUAUGAC